RNAcentral lists this long non-coding RNA (1242 nucleotides) under Canis lupus familiaris (dog). RNAcentral describes it as "lncRNA (ENSCAFG00845010130.1)". The record is from RNAcentral. Lineage: Eukaryota; Metazoa; Chordata; Mammalia; Carnivora; Canidae.
GCCAGUUUCCCCAUCUAAAAGUGGAAAUAUUCCACAUAGUGCUGAGCUUGUCAGUGAACUGGCCCUGGGGAGACCCCGCACUCUCUGCAAAGUCCAGGAGGGUCUCUUGGCGGGGGUCCCCUACAGAGAAGCCACCUCCCCUGCAAACAAUACAAAGACAACAAGGCAACAAGGACCUCUGUUGGCCUCGGGCUUUUAGAACCAAAAUGAGCCAAGAUGAUCAGUGGUACCCAGGCCACAGGAGAACAUUCAAGUGUGACGUCCCCAAGUAUGUUCAAGGAAGAGCAUUGGUGUGGGGCACCUGGGUGGUGCCGUUGGUGAAGCAUCUUAUUCAGCUCAGGUCAGGACCUCAUGCGUUGUGAGAUGGAAUUGGGCUCUUUCCCUCUGCUCCUCCUUCAACUCAUGCUCUCUAAAAUAAAUCUUUUUUAAAAAUCAUGUUUAUUUAGGAAAACAUAAUUCUCGUGACGUCCUUGUUGGAGAUACUUUACGCUAAAAAUGAAAACCCUGCAAGCGCCGUGUAGGGCCACCCUCGCUUAGAGGCGCUAAACCAGGAAAGACCUUCCGGGCCGCGCACGCGCACAGCGCUCUGCCGCAGAGGCCCGACACCACCGCGCAAACCGCCGGGGGGCUGAAGGGGGGAGGGGCCCGCGCACGCGCAGAGCUGCACAACAUGGCGGCUACGAGAGGUCAGGGAAGGGAGAGAGAGGAGAGGGAAACCAUCGUGACCUCCGGAGCAGAUGACACGUACGCUUUCCCCCAGCGUGACUCAAAGGAUGUGAGGUUCCUGCAGAAGGCGGCCUAAAAGUGGAUGGGCGAAGAGAAAUGGGAAACCGAGCUUGAGCUCCAGAACCAGGGAGAGGGGAUGGGAGACCCCGACAGCAAGCCUGUCCAUUCAGUCCCGAUCAGCCUGGAGCCCCACACGGAAGAAUGGUUGCUGACCUCAUCUCAGAACAUGUCCAAGCCUCCCCCCUCACGUGGGUGCUGCGCAUGCCUUCCAGACGAACCUCUUCAGCCUUCACCUUCUGUCCAUACCGGCCAAAGAUGGGUGUUCAAGAUCCUCAUCUGUAACAACGUGCUUGGCGCACCCAUUAUGGUCACAGUUCUGUGGAGCUUUAUCAAUAAAAUUAGACUGUGCAGACAAACUACAGAAAGCUCCAUCCCCCUCCCUCCAGCAGCUGAGCCAGGCAGGGGAGGGAGCCCACAUGCAUGACUUAAUCUGACUUUGUUAGCGUCCUGCUGGCU